This is a microRNA precursor of Procavia capensis (Cape rock hyrax), 115 nucleotides long. NCBI's taxonomy places the organism in Eukaryota, Metazoa, Chordata, Mammalia, Hyracoidea, Procaviidae. The record is from Ensembl.
CUUCGAGACUGAGGGGUGGUCAUCCAUCCCGGACGAGCCCCCAAAUGAAAGGACCCCCAAGAGGGGAGACCCCUCCUCAAGUCACAGGUGACGGCGUAACCCCAAUCAGUCACGA